This 24-nucleotide non-coding RNA is filed under the name Arabidopsis thaliana (thale cress). The record is from RNAcentral. Lineage: Eukaryota; Viridiplantae; Streptophyta; Magnoliopsida; Brassicales; Brassicaceae.
GAUAUGGUCAUAUAUGAAACUUGC